RNAcentral lists this small nucleolar RNA (105 nucleotides) under Ictidomys tridecemlineatus (thirteen-lined ground squirrel). Its description in RNAcentral is "Small nucleolar RNA SNORA42/SNORA80 family (ENSSTOG00000016904.1)". Lineage: Eukaryota; Metazoa; Chordata; Mammalia; Rodentia; Sciuridae. The record is from RNAcentral.
UUUUGGAAUUGGAGGGAUGUUCCCAGGCCAGAGUAAACUGUGGCCCUGAACCUGGCCUGGCUACUGUACCUGUAGGCUGCUGCCACUGAAGCAGGUUGCACAGUG